Molecule: ribosomal RNA, 492 nt
Filed under: uncultured bacterium
Lineage: Bacteria
Description: partial 16S ribosomal RNA
Rfam family: Bacterial small subunit ribosomal RNA
Source: RNAcentral
AGUGAACGCUGGCGGUAGGCCUAACACAUGCAAGUCGAACGGCAGCACAGUAAGAGCUUGCUCUUACGGGUGGCGAGUGGCGGACGGGUGAGGAAUACAUCGGAAUCUACUUUUUCGUGGGGGAUAACGUAGGGAAACUUACGCUAAUACCGCAUACGACCUACGGGUGAAAGCAGGGGAUCUUCGGACCUUGCGCGAUUGAAUGAGCCGAUGUCGGAUUAGCUAGUUGGCGGGGUAAAGGCCCACCAAGGCGACGAUCCGUAGCUGGUCUGAGAGGAUGAUCAGCCACACUGGAGCUGAGACACGGUCCAGACUCCUACGGGAGGCAGCAGCGGGGAAUAUUGGACAAUGGGCGCAAGCCUGAUCCAGCCAUACCGCGUGGGUGAAGAAGGCCUUCGGGUUGUAAAGCCCUUUUGUUGGGAAAGAAAAGCAGCAGGUUAAUACCCCGCUGUUCUGACGGUACCCAAAGAAUAAGCACCGGCUAACUUCGUG